AGAUUGAACGCUGGCGGCAUGCUUUACACAUGCAAGUCGAACGGGCUGUUGGGGCAACCUGGCAGUCAGUGGCGGACGGGUGAGUAAUGCAUCGGAACGUGUCCCGUAGUGGGGGAUAACCCGGCGAAAGCCGGACUAAUACCGCAUAUGCUCUACGGAGGAAAGCGGGGGACCUGAAAGGGCCUCGCGCUAUGGGAGCGGCCGAUGUCCGAUUAGCUUGGUUGGUGGGUAAUGGCCUACCAAGGCGACGAUCGGUAGCUGGUCUGAGAGGAUGAUCAGCCACACUGGGACUGAGACACGGCCCAGACUCCGUACGGGAGGCAGCA
Molecule: ribosomal RNA, 326 nt
Filed under: uncultured soil bacterium
Lineage: Bacteria
Description: bacterial SSU rRNA
Rfam family: Bacterial small subunit ribosomal RNA
Source: RNAcentral